GUACCAUAAGCCCAAUCUGUGAAUCGACACUUGUGUUGAAUUGUGGAAUGAAGAUGAGUCCRUCCUGUUUGUAGACCAAGUCCUCUGGAAUGGGGCAGCAUAGAGGGUGACACUCCCGUAUGUCUUUGAAUAUGAGGACUCUUCAAAGAGUCGAGUUGUUUGGGAUUGCAGCUCUAAGGGGUGGUAAAUUCCACCCAAGGCUAAAUACUGGUGAGAGACCGAUAGUAUACAAGUACCGUGAGGGAAAGAUGCAAAGCCGCGCGAAAGCGCCAUCAAAGAGUACCUGAAAUUGCUGAAAAGGAAGCAAAGGAAACUAGUGUAAGCCAUCCUGCACUUCCCUGACUGCUUGCAGUUGGGGCGCUGCGGCUG
Molecule: ribosomal RNA, 369 nt
Filed under: Surirella sp.1 ECR-2011
Lineage: Eukaryota; Bacillariophyta; Bacillariophyceae; Surirellales; Surirellaceae
Description: eukaryotic LSU rRNA
Rfam family: Eukaryotic large subunit ribosomal RNA
Source: RNAcentral